AGUUUGGUUGAGUUGAGGCUGAGGUGCCAUUUUGAAAUUAUAUCACGCACAUCGCGUGAGAGUUUUUAGAUUUUUAAUUAUUUAUCGUAUUAAACACCAAUUAUAACAGCCAAAAAAGUGAUAAUAAUAGACUUUAUUAUAACGUGGUGCCGUACAAGAUGAACUACGACCAUAUUGCAGAACAAUAACGAGAAAUAACUUGCCAGGAAUCAACCAGGUUGGUUUGGUUUUCAGUUGAAUAUGCGGCGAUAAGUUUCGAAUCAUGAAAAUGAUGCCGGAAGACCUUAAUAGCAAGUGUGCGGCCUCUUUACUGUUUAUUGGUUGCCCUGUUCCGGUCCAGAACGGAGGUACUCGUUCUACUGCCCUGCCAAAAGAAAACGAAUAUGCCACAAAGUAAAGUUGUUAUAGCAUCAAGACACGAUGAAUUGGAGAACACGAAUAACUGAUACUGAAGUAUUAUAAGUAUUUUCAACGGUGCACCAUGGAAAUUCGUCUAGAACUGUCUUUCGAGUUUCAAGCAAGAUGGCACAAUCCUGUCGUCAUACCAGUUCACCGGAUCAGAGGUUCAUGUUCACGAUGACUCGCCACCCCUGGCCGAUAUUGCCAUUCUAGUUAACAGCUGCGUAUGGACAACAUGAACAAUCAACAAUCAAUGUCAGCGAGCGAACAAUACCACUCGUCUGGGAAUUCGCCUGAGAAGCAUUAAAUGUGGAGCUCUGAAGUGGGACGAUAUGAUGUAGCUGUGCAUGGUGGUCUAAACACAAUGCUGCGUUUUCACCGACUUCAUCUUCAUCGCAUAUGGAUCCGACCAGGAUCCGAUCAUCUGCUUAAGAAUACUUUGCUGCUUUAGUUGUAUGGAAGUAACCAAAUUUGUAUGUGCCUACAAUAGACUAAAAAAAAUGUUCAAGCUCUGGUAGAUUGUAUGAGUAAAAUUAAACUUAUGCGUAAAUUUAAAUAACAUUUAAAUAAAGACAUGACUAACAACAGAAAA
Long non-coding RNA from Armigeres subalbatus, 991 nucleotides. RefSeq lists it as uncharacterized. The transcript has 4 exons. The record is from RefSeq and is a predicted model, not a curated record. NCBI's taxonomy places the organism in Eukaryota, Metazoa, Arthropoda, Insecta, Diptera, Culicidae.